UAUGUAUAUACAUAUUACAUAUAUGCAUAUAUUGUUAAGUUACCUUAUUUCGCUUUUUGAACUUCACUACUGCAACAAUUCUGUAACUUUUAUCGACACGAUUCGUCGGAUCGCAAAGUUGAAUUUUGUCGCCUGCGCUAAAGAAACAUCGUUAUUCCAAAUUAGUAUGUCAAUAGUUUUAAGCUGGCUUUUGAAUAUAUAAUGUUUUUGAAAAGUGUAAGUAAAAUGAAAUGUUUGUUAGUUUUUGUAUUAUUAGACAUGCCUUAUUGUAUGUAUAAUUUUAAAAUGGAUACGACAAAAAGAAACCGAGCUACAAUGGAGCAGCUAUUGUAAUUCGGAUGAUGGAUUUUUUCGGAAAAACGCCGGGUUUGACUUGGUAUCGGUUCCAAAAGCUCCAUGGAAAAUCAGAUUGCGACAGUAAGAGGAGCGAAUUAGUACUAGUACGCUGAAUUGCCUUAGUGGUGCUUUGAAAAGCGUCGAACAAUGGCGCCCGGUAUGGAGGGAUCUGAAAAGCCGUCCAGGCAUCAAGUUCCGAGACGGGAAAAGAAAGCGGUCAAUCACAGGAAACAAUCCCAUUCAUGAGGAGCCACUCACUGAAUUGGAGAGACGAGUCAUUGCCCUUGUAGGUAAUGACUAUGUCCAGGGCCACGAAACGUUUCUGAAACUGUGCCUAUAGAAGAGAAACUGCAACUGCGAUUAGAGGAGGGUGAAGAAGCCACAAAACUCCACGUAGAAGAAGUAAGAAAAGUGUGAAAGACGUGAGCGAUGCGCGAAACGCAUUUUUAGAAAUUGCGCAAGCACAAGCGAAUAUUUUAAGAAUGUUAAAAAAGUCGCGUGCAGCUUCCACCCGAAUUGCAAGCAGGCAAGCUGAAGCCUUGCAGGUAAUUUUUUUUAAAUGCUGUAGGAUAAUUUUUUUUAAUAGUUGUUAGAUGAAAGCAUUGCGUCGGCUACGCAGGCAUUGGCGGAUGCUAUGACCACAAUGGGUGAAGGAUUACAAGCUUGUGCAGCUGCCUUCAACAACGGCGCAAUUAGACGGAUGUAAAUAUAUUAUGGAGUUUAAAGUUAUUUUUUCCUUA
Molecule: long non-coding RNA, 1076 nt
Organism: Ceratitis capitata (Mediterranean fruit fly)
Lineage: Eukaryota; Metazoa; Arthropoda; Insecta; Diptera; Tephritidae
Exons: 4
Source: RefSeq, a predicted model, not a curated record